This is a long non-coding RNA of Artibeus jamaicensis (Jamaican fruit-eating bat), 1234 nucleotides long. RefSeq lists it as uncharacterized. The record is from RefSeq and is a predicted model, not a curated record. NCBI's taxonomy places the organism in Eukaryota, Metazoa, Chordata, Mammalia, Chiroptera, Phyllostomidae. The transcript is spliced from 3 exons.
UGGAGCUAAUGUGGGUUUGCUCUCACAGAGGCAUCUGCGGAAAGAGUGUGGACAGCACUGAAGAGGGCCGGCCCGAGGGGAGGACGAGAAGGAUGGUGGCUAAUCACAGGCCGUGCCGUGGGUGUUCGUUGGAAAGGCCCAGCUGGCGGAACGACGGGACCACCUCCGACUCGCAGCCACGGGUGCUGACCCCCACGGUCUGGCCGAGGAGCGUCACAUGCUCCCACUCAGUCUCAGAGUGUAACUGAGUUCAGGUGACUCCUCUGCCAAAAUCUGGACUUAAUUAAACUCAGUGAAUUCUAAUUUUGGAACCAUGUUUGUAUCUGUCUUCUGGUCCCUGCUCCAAGGUGGUGCUCCAGGGACAAGAAAGUGUUCUUCGAGACGAGCUCUCCGGUCACAUUGCGGAGCAGCCAGGGUCACCUGCACUGCAGCCAGGGUCACCUGCACUGCGUCCCUGCAGAAAGUCCUUUGAAUGGUGCCACCAGGCGAGGUCACGCUCGGGCAAAAGGACAACGAGGCUAGGGCAGGAUAUUCCACCUCUCCAACACUUGAAACCAGAUUUUAGUCGAAGGAAUUGUUACCUAGCAGGAAAAUCAGGCCCCGGGAAGCAGGGCUCACAGCCCCACUGUGGCAGCCUGACAACUCUCUCUGGGCAGACUCACCACCCAGCACCGUCACCGUCACACCGCCAGCAGCGUCAUCGUCACCGGCACCCUCCCCACCCCGGCACCAUCCCAGUUCAGCACCACAGCAGUUCCUGGGACACAGUUCGAUCCACGAGAGAGGGUAAUGGACUUCACACUUCCCUCCACCGGGUGUGGCCGACAGGUGAGCACAGACCUGGCGGGAAGAGCUCACUCCGAGGUGCCUGGCCGGGGCCACGUGCCUUCUUCUCCUGCUUCAGAAACUGGGAAGAUGCAGCGCAUGGUGAGAGCUAAUGGUGGUGGGUGAGUGCGAGGCCCUUCAAAUUAAAAGCAGCAACUUUAAGAUUUUACACACACACAUGCACAUCCUACUCUGCUAAUCAAGGUUGCCUGUGGUUGACUAGGUGGGCAGCCGGGUCCUGCCAGGACUCCCGUGAAGCCAUCCUGGGAGCAGAUAAGCCGAGAAAGGCGAGUCUUGCCCUUCACCUCCUAUUUAAGCUUUAUUAUGACCAUCAUCGCCGUUAUUAAUGUGGUUCGCUUUCUCAUGUGCAAAGUGCUCUAUUCACACGGGUGCUGUGCACAUCUGUGAA